RNAcentral lists this ribosomal RNA (253 nucleotides) under uncultured bacterium. RNAcentral describes it as "partial 16S ribosomal RNA". It matches the Rfam family "Bacterial small subunit ribosomal RNA", at positions 524 to 776 of the family's 1533-position model. The record is from RNAcentral.
UACGGGGGGUGCGAGCGUUGUCCGGAAUCACUGGGCGUAAAGGGCGCGUAGGUGGUUUGAUAAGGGUGUGGUGAAAGUCCGGGGCUCAACCCCGGAUCUGCCGUGCCGACUGUCAAACUCGAGGGCUGUAGAGGCAGACGGAAUUCCGGGUGUAGCGGUGGAAUGCGCAGAUAUCAGGAGGAACACCGAUGGCGAAGGCAGGUCUCUGGGCAUUAACUGACGCUGAGGAGCGAAAGCAUGGGGAGCGAACAGG